This 242-nucleotide long non-coding RNA is filed under the name Lathyrus oleraceus (garden pea). RNAcentral's name for it is "Pisum sativum (pea) long non-coding RNA (PSAT_LNC030252)". Lineage: Eukaryota; Viridiplantae; Streptophyta; Magnoliopsida; Fabales; Fabaceae. The record is from RNAcentral.
UUAAUUGGAAAUAGACCUAGUGGCUUUGAUCUUGUCCGGAUCGAAAGCGUGGCUUGGAUUCUAGAUAUUGAAUCGGAAAGCGGUGAAACGUUGGGUUCACAUGGAGGUACCACAUGCAUAGAGUCACAUGUCUUGCAUUGAGUCACAUUAGAGUUAUGUGAUAAUUGAAUUUAUGCAUUGAUGUGAUUGUCAUGUGUGUAUGAGAUAUGGUAAUUGAAUUUGGUGAUGUUUGGAUACAUAAC